Molecule: long non-coding RNA, 7467 nt
Organism: Numida meleagris (helmeted guineafowl)
Lineage: Eukaryota; Metazoa; Chordata; Aves; Galliformes; Numididae
Exons: 3
Source: RefSeq, a predicted model, not a curated record
GUUACCAUGGCGACGAGGGUGGGCAGCCAGACCGCAGCUCUAAAGAAUAGCAGUGCCCCCCACGCGAGCUUGGCCUCCCUAGGCAGCCUGUGCCAAUGCCUCACCACUCCUUCUGAGUUUUUUCUAAUAUCCAACCUGAACCUCCCCUGGUGCAACUUAAGGCUGUUAUCUCUCUUCCUGUCUAUCACUGUUACCUGGGAGAAGAGGCCAUUCCCAACCAUGAGGGAAAAAUGAUUAUGACUCAAUGAUUAUGUCACCAGCAGUAUGGUGACAGGGCUCUGUGCCCUCAGGAGACUGAAAGGUGCUUUCAGGGACCGUGCAGAAACCUCACUCAGUUGAACUAAACGUUCAGGGAUUGCAGGUGUACCCUGAGUGCUGCACAGCCUCUCUCAGAACGAUGGUGAGAGAGCUGGGUUGUAAAAGCUCAGGUGAAGCAGCCUGAGAGACAUCUCUAGAGUGACAGCCGUGAGGAUCUUGCUAGCUCUAUGUUACAACUGUUACAUGACAGGUCUAGAGACUAUCAAGAGGAUAUCAAAUGUUUAAUGAAUUUUACUAACAGGACCUUUGACUAGCAGGAAGAAGUAGAGAUUCCAGUGAAGGAAAAGAAGGUGCAAACAGUUAGUUUUUAGAGCACUUUUUUACUCAACCAAAGAGUGGAAUUUUCCAGCAAAGAACAAAGGAAAAAUAACUUAAGGAACGAUGAGAAGAUGUACAAAUUCCACAAGGUGCACUUUCUCUGAGACUGCUCCUGCGCUCUGGGAGCUAGGGCAAGGGAAACAUCAUUCUGCGUUUGAUAUAAAAUGCAGCCGCGUUUACCAGAAGGAAGGCCUUUUCCAGAGACGUACAGCAUUCCAGAGGCUAUCUGCGCACGGCUCGGGUAGGCAGCCUGGCAGCUGUGUGUUUCAGAGGGCUAUGUGCAGUUACUGCCUUGAUUCUCUAAGUGACCUAUUUGAGCAGAAAGGAGAACUGUUCUGAAUAAGGGCAGCUAUUUUGAACUUAGGAUGUUUUGGAGAGAGGGGGAAACAGUGAAGGAUAGAAUUAGGUCACAACUUCAGGAUGCCAAGAUUUUCCUCUUGAUUUGCUUAUUGCUUUUGUAAGGCAGGCUCUCACAUUUAGCCACACUGGAAGGAAUAAUCUUUUCUCUGCACACAUUAAACCAGAGUACAGAAGAAAUGUAAGUCAUCAAAAGUUCCAUUUUCUACAUUUCUGGGAGAAAGAACGGCUAAAAGGACAAACCAAUUUUCUCAGCUAUGUAAUUAGCACUUACUGUCAGGAGAUAAUAAACAAUCAAUUGAAGUCAGUUGAAGCAUUUCUCAAGAGCAGUUCAGAAUCCCACUGAAGUGACUGAAAUGCAGUGCAACACAAGCACUUCUGUGAUGAAGGUGGACUCGGGGCAGGAACAGCAAUGAGAUUGUUGAUGAUUAGAAGGAUAAGUAGGAUCACAGAGGCCACUUUUAACACUGUGGAGAUCAGUUCAGUCUAGACAACGCUCUGAGCCCACUGACUGCUCCCUUCGGAGAGCAAGCUUGAAAUAUUAAUCUCCUGUGCUAUUUAGAACUAGUAAAUGCAUCUAAGUUAGAAACUAGUCAAGUGUUAUCGUAUCAUACCCUCCAAUAAAACAUGUUGAGAAGUGCAGAAAAAUACAAUGAUUAAAAAUCAAUCUUAAUAACUGGAAGAAUAUAUUACAUUUGCCUGCAACCUCAGUGUGACUUACAGCUUGGCUUUCAGAGGCUCUGUGCACCCGCGUCUCCUAUUCUCUAUCAUAGCAAUUGUGUAUGCAGUUGGGCCCGGGCUAACAAAUAGCGAUCAGAAAUCUAGCCUACGUUGUAUAAAAUAAGCAAUUAGCAGUGACCUUGCGUUACUGAGUUACAGUACCUGUUACUCAGGAUCUUUUCUAUUAUAUCCCCCAUCAAAAUUGCUAUGGAUUUUUUAGCGCAUAUCUAAAUAUAUUGAGGAUAAGGCCCACUUUCCAGAAGCAGUUAAAACAAGCUGUUCUUCCUUCCUUUUCAGGGGAUAACAUAAAUUCACAACCAUGCCACUGUCUUCUUUUGGCAGUUUGGAGAUGUAAGAAAUGUUGCCAUCAGGUUUUCCAAAUUUAAUUCAAUCCCUUGUUAAAUUAAGCUCUGCUAUAAUUCAGUCGCAGCCUGAAGACCUAAAUCGUUCAUAUUAAAGGUAACACAAUGGCCACCCUUUCUUUUAAUCAAUGUUUACUGCUUUAGGCAGGUAUUACCAGAUAAUCUGAUUACAAAACCACAACGAACUAGCAUUUAGUUAAUAACCAAUGAGAAAAAUUUGAAAAAGAAUCAAAGGAGAAAAGGAAAAGAAAGCCUUACAAAGACAAGCAACAUGAGAGGAAAUAUUAUGGAAAGUUAGUUUUGCCAGUGAGUGCUACUGGCACAAGCCUCAAAGAUCCGCAGCCAUGGGUGACAGGUUCAGCCCAGCAGGGAGAGAGGAUUGACAGAACUCCAAGAAGAGUGAGGUCUAUGGUAAAUUUAACAUCAUUUCCUCUUAGACUUAUUUAAACUUACUAAUAAGAUUUAUAGUUUAGAUGCUUAGCAGUAUAAGCUGGCGUAACUCCACUGAACUCUGGCUGCAUCGUUUCCAGCCUGCUCUUUCUGUAAAUGCAGGCAGAAACCUGCCUGCCUGGUAGCCCUUUUGUGGGAAAGUGACUCUUCUUGUCCAGUGUGUUCUGGGGCUUGUGAGCUACCAGAUUUUUGCCUCUGUGUGUGAAGCUGCUUCUUUGUUCAGCUGGUAGGAAAAUCAAAGCACUUGCUUUGUUCAUGGGAUGUUCCAUGUAUCUGCUACAUCUGUGAUUCAGCUUUGUAAAAGUUCUCCUCUAUUUGAGGACACACCUGGAUGGAUGAGGGCAGCCUGCCUUGGGACAGCAGGUUCUGCUAAGGCUGAGAGGAUGAAUUUCUGGCAAUGUCGUGGCACAGAGCGCACUGAGUAACGUGGAGCAGCACUGCAGCUGCUUCCUACCAGCUUACGGGGGAGUCACCAGUCAGGCUUACUGGCCAGUUCUCUGAUCUCCCAGGCUGACUUAUCUCACAAGGCCCCCAGUUCUGUGGAGCCUGAGAGCUGCCAGAUGUAGAGCUGCCAGCUCUCAUGGUGUUUGACAGAAGCUGACACAGAUUUACUUUAAGGGGACUCUGAUGCAUCUUUCUUAUUUCUUAAAAUAUCGACCUGAAAACAUGUCUUAAUAGGUUGCUUAUUGUCCACUGUCUUUUUUUCUGUGUAAAUUUGGAAUACCAUUGGAAUGACAGCCCUUCUUGUCAGCCAACAGCUCCAGAGGAGACUUGGACUGGUUAUUUUCCACCCAUCUCCCUUGUGUCUGCUCCUGAGUGAUCAGGCUGAAUGGAGCCCAUGGUCUGCUGCUCAACAGAUGGAAGAAGUGAUUAAUCACACAGUGAAAUAUUUUCAAGACGAGCAUAAAUUGCAGGAGAUUGUAAAACACUCCAGAUGGUCUUGAAUUUUUUGGAAAAGUGGACAAAAACAGCAAAGGAAAUUUUGAGUUGAAUAAACACAGACUAUCCCUAUCACUAAAAAAUAAAUUACACAGUCUAAUGUGAACAUCUAGGAUCUUCAAAAGUCAAGGGUGUAGGCUUAGAGGUGUCUACCUAAGGCAAGCAAAUAGGGUGCUGGUGUACUAGAGAUAAGACGUGUUCUGACAUUUGUACAGAAUGCCCACAUCCUUACUCCUGUUCCCUCAGUUUGGGCCAUAUCAGCUGAAAAACACACAGACCAAAAACGUCUCACAGCUGCAAAGAGAGUAGGGUAUGCUAAGGUUUCCGUGGAGAGAGAUGUUGAAGUCUUCAAAGCGAUAUGCAUGGAGGGAAGUGCUUCAUGCCACAGGGAAAUGAUUUGAAUGAUUCAUCACUGCAAAAAUGGCAGGCCUGGUGAAGCUCUGGGUUUUAUGGAUGAGUGGAUGGUAUUAUAACAUUUAUAGCUAGUGCAAUAAAGAAAUUGUCAUGUGGUAUCCCAGAACAUCAUCUGGUAUCUUGUUGCUCCUUGUCUCAAGCCUAGGCAAACCUUUGUGAUAGCAGCGUCAGCAAUAGCAUCUGCACAAACACAGAUGCAUGACCUUGAGUCAUGCAGUGCAUAAACCCUGUGUUCAGCAAUAAAAUGGAGAAAGCUCGGAAGGAAACUUGCUCUCCUGGACAGCAGAAGCUGCAUGACUAGCUACACAGGUUACAGGGUGUUCUUCUUUAGAUGGUUGAGGUAGUGGCUGUAUGUGGGCAGACUCCAGCAGUGACUUGAUAUAAAUUUAGUGCCUCUGUAGGAGAUCAGGUGAUUUUAUUAUCUUGAUAUAAUUCUCCAUUUUCUUUAGAUGAAUGUUUAUGUCCUUUUGUAUUUUGAUUUGCCUCAGGAUACAGUAGAACAGACCAGAGUACAGUAGAACAGAAUAAUAGUUCAGUUGUAAGGGACCUUCACAGACCAUCUGGUCCAACUGACCGACCAAUUCAAGGCAAACCAAAAGUUAAAGCAUGUUACUGAGGGCAUUAUCCAAAUGCUUCACCAGCGGGCAUGGAGAAUCAACCACUUUAGUAGGAGGCCAGUUCCAGUGUUUGACCACCCCCAUGGUAAUUUUUUUCUAACACCUACUCUGAAGCUCCCCUGGCCCAGCUUUGCUCCAUUCCCACAGGCCCUGUCAUUGGUUACCAGGAAGAAGAGACCAGCACCGCCCUCUCCACUUCCCCUCCUCAGAAGUUGCAGAGAACAAAGCGGUCUCCUCUUGGCCUCCUUUUCUCCAAAUGGGGCAAUCCAAGUGCCCUCAGCUUCUCCUCAUAGAACACACCUUCCAGCCCUGCUGCCAGCUUUGUCGCCUUCCUCUGGACGCUUUCAGGACCUUAACGUCCUCCUUGUAUUGCAGGACCCAGAACUGCACACAGUAGCAAAGGUGAGGCCACACCAGUGUAGUAGGAAAUCACCUUUUUUUUCUGGCUAUCUGUGCUGUGUUUGAUGCACCCCAGUGCAGUUUGUCUUCUCAGCUGCCAGGGCACGCUGCUGGCUCUUGCAGAGCCUGCUGUUGACCAGCCUCGCAGAUUCCUCUCUGCUGAGCUCUCCCCAGCCACUCAUCUCCCAGUCUGUACCUGUGUCUGGCAUUACUCCAUCCCAAGUGCAGAACCUGGCAUUUACCUUUGUUGAACUUCAUGUUGCUGAUGAUUGUGCAGUGCUCAGAUCUAUCUAGAUCCCUCUGCCUCAGGUGACGCCAGUGGCAUGGCACAUUCCAGCAUCUAUAAAACACCAUGCAACUGCUUGAGACUGCAGCUUCACAUUUGUUGAACAGGGACUACGAUUAAGACUGGCUGGUACUGAAAACAAAAACCAGACAGUGGUACAUACCUUUGCAAUGAGCUCCUCGUUCCCAUUCCUCACCUUUUUGGAGUAUAAAAUGUAGUAGAGGGUUUUAUGGCUUAACCUUAAAUAACUGCCAGUUACUUCCAGUAACUGUAUGUCCUGAUUCUGCCAGCUGCAAUGUGACAAAGUAACACCUUGAUGACAGUAAAACUGACAGCUCUGGUUAGUGUGUGUGAUGCAACAGCUAAGAUGCUGACAGAUAACGUUCAAUGGCCAUGAUUUUGUGUUCCCUGAUUUAAUACUCCUAAAUCUGCUUCACCGUCCCCCAGCUGCUCUCCCAGCGGCUCACCAGUGUCUUGUUUUUCAGACAACAAAUGCUGCUCCUCACUUCACUUGUGUUCUCAUCUGAAAGAGAUGGACUGACAGCAAGAAACCCACCUCCAUCUUCCAAGCAGCCGGGCUAAGCAGCAGGCUGUAGCAUUCCUUUCUGAGAUCCAGCUGAAGCGCAGUAGAUUUGAGGGCCCAGUGCAGUGUUUUAAUAUGCGUCUUUAUCCACAGAACUAUGAAUCUUAGCUCACAAUUGAACUGAAAGCACAACCUUUCUCUGCAGGAUGGAGUGCAACAAAUAUUUAACUUUGUUAGUGUACCUUGUGAGCUGGCUGUGCCUAUGUAAUUGCAGUUAAAACCACUGCUGGUAACAAGGAGGUUGGCAUGAUUUAUAUAUGGCAGCACAGACACUUACUAACUUGGGCCAAAAAGCUACCUUGCAGAGCAUGAAGAUUUUCUGGAACAUAAAGACAAGUUUGCUGUAUAUGGAAACUAGGUCCUUAGUGACUGCCUACCAUUACGGUGAAUUUCUGAGCUGGUGAAAAAACAAAAAGAGAUAUUCUUGCAUCAGCCUAAACCAGGCGUCUGUUGGCUUCCCUUCUGCGCAUGCCUGGCACAAACUGAAAUGAGAAUGCCAGUCUGUGACCACUUAUGGACAUCCACCAGAGUUUGUACUGAAUUAAGUUCAAACAGAUCUUGACAAGUGUCUUCUUGAGUAUCUUUUCCCUCCAGAGUGGUGAUUGCCACUGACAGAUGGCAUAAUCUGACUCUGUUUAGCUGAGUCCAUGGCACUCUGUUCACGUGAAUAGGGAUUACUCUAGCAAAGCUGAACUACGUUGGGCUGUUAAACAUGUUGCACAUUUACUCACAUCUCCGGAGCCUGUCAGCUUUGUAUUUUUAAAAAGGACGCUAGCUUCUGCUGGUUUUGAAAGGCUUUGAAACAGCGUCUGAGGAAUGGAUGUGAAAGGCAAGUAGUAGUUACACUAGACUAAUUCCGAUCCCACUGAAAUUGAUGACAUUACCUGUAAAAGCCGCUGGAGCUGAGGCAAGACUUGAGCCCUCAGGAUGUUGGGUUUUUUGAGUACUUAUGAGCAGUGUGAUUGUCAUGCAGAACCACAGCAUUGCUCCAGUGUAUAUGGUGUCAUCUGUGCUAUGCUAAUAAAUUAGCAUCUGCAGCUACCAUCGCUGCCUCUCAGAUCCGGGUACCAAAUAGAGCUGUUUCAUCUCACUGCUGCUAAAGCGUGUCUGCGUGAGCAUGGAAGACGUGUAUUAUCCCAUCUGUUUGUCACAGACCCUCCGUCAGGCUGUCUGCUUCAAGGUAACAGAUCAGGCACAAAAUGAAUUCCUCUGCAGACAAGUGCCUUGAAGGCAUCUCACAUGGUCACAGCAUACAAACAUUUCCUUUAGACGCAUUUUACUCCUUCUGCUCAGGUCAGCUAAGCCCUGUCCACACCAGGGAAAUUGCUAACCUUGGCUCAGCCUCUUUAGUGACAACGGUUGCCCCAGUGUGGACAUGCACUGCGUCCAUUUUCAUUAACAUCUCAAGUCACUUCCCUGGAAGAAGGCCUUCCAAGACAGCGCUUUGAUCAGCAGCAGCUGCUGGCAGGGUCUCUUUGUGAGCUGCCGCUGCCACUUGUCCGGAUGGAGCUGCAGCGGUGCCAGCUGCAGGCAGGCUCCUGGGGCAUGCAGCAGCAGAGGCAGCAAGCAGCAUGGUGUCUGUGCCCAUGGCUGUGCUGGGGAACAGGGACCUCAGCUGCUGCUGCAGCAUGGCCGAGGUGCUGGGCACCGCUCAUCAGCCAAAGCUGCAUCACCUGUGCUCGCACUCAGCUGCUGCUGCCCACC